UACGUAGGGGGCAAGCGUUGUCCGGAUUUAUUGGGCGUAAAGAGCGUGUAGGCGGCUUUACAGGUCCGUUGUGAAAACUCGAGGCUCAACCUCGAGACGCCGGUGGAAACCGUAAGGCUAGAGUCCGGAAGAGGAGAGUGGAAUUCCUGGUGUAGCGGUGAAAUGCGCAGAUAUCAGGAAGAACACCCGUGGCGAAGGCGGCUCUCUGGGACGGUACUGACACUGAGGCGCGAAAGCGUGGGGAGCGAACAGG
This 253-nucleotide ribosomal RNA is filed under the name uncultured bacterium. RNAcentral's name for it is "partial 16S ribosomal RNA". It matches the Rfam family "Bacterial small subunit ribosomal RNA", at positions 524 to 776 of the family's 1533-position model. The record is from RNAcentral.